Molecule: non-coding RNA, 64 nt
Organism: Favolaschia claudopus
Lineage: Eukaryota; Fungi; Basidiomycota; Agaricomycetes; Agaricales; Mycenaceae
Source: the annotation of a GenBank genome assembly
GGACUGGUAGCUCAGUUGGUAGAGCCACCACGGGAGGUCUCGAGUUCGAUCCUCGACCAGUGCA